This 2739-nucleotide ribosomal RNA is filed under the name Shigella sonnei. Its description in RNAcentral is "partial 23S ribosomal RNA". It matches the Rfam family "Bacterial large subunit ribosomal RNA". Lineage: Bacteria; Pseudomonadati; Pseudomonadota; Gammaproteobacteria; Enterobacterales; Enterobacteriaceae. The record is from RNAcentral.
GCGAACCGGGGGAACUGAAACAUCUAAGUACCCCGAGGAAAAGAAAUCAACCGAGAUUCCCCCAGUAGCGGCGAGCGAACGGGGAGCAGCCCAGAGCCUGAAUCAGUGUGUGUGUUAGUGGAAGCGUCUGGAAAGGCGCGCGAUACAGGGUGACAGCCCCGUACACAAAAAUGCACAUAUUGUGAGCUCGAUGAGUAGGGCGGGACACGUGGUAUCCUGUCUGAAUAUGGGGGGCCCAUCCUCCAAGGCUAAAUACUCCUGACUGACCGAUAGUGAACCAGUACCGUGAGGGAAAGGCGAAAAGAACCCCGGCGAGGGGAGUGAAAAAGAACCUGAAACCGUGUACGUACAAGCAGUGGGAGCACGCUUAGGCGUGUGACUGCGUACCUUUUGUAUAAUGGGUCAGCGACUUAUAUUCUGUAGCAAGGUUAACCGAAUAGGGGAGCCGAAGGGAAACCGAGUCUUAACUGGGCGUUAAGUUGCAGGGUAUAGACCCGAAACCCGGUGAUCUAGCCAUGGGCAGGUUGAAGGUUGGGUAACACUAACUGGAGGACCGAACCGACUAAUGUUGAAAAAUUAGCGGAUGACUUGUGGCUGGGGGUGAAAGGCCAAUCAAACCGGGAGAUAGCUGGUUCUCCCCGAAAGCUAUUUAGGUAGCGCCUCGUGAAUUCAUCUCCGGGGGUAGAGCACUGUUUCGGCAAGGGGGUCAUCCCGACUUACCAACCCGAUGCAAACUGCGAAUACCGGAGAAUGUUAUCACGGGAGACACACGGCGGGUGCUAACGUCCGUCGUGAAGAGGGAAACAACCCAGACCGCCAGCUAAGGUCCCAAAGUCAUGGUUAAGUGGGAAACGAUGUGGGAAGGCCCAGACAGCCAGGAUGUUGGCUUAGAAGCAGCCAUCAUUUAAAGAAAGCGUAAUAGCUCACUGGUCGAGUCGGCCUGCGCGGAAGAUGUAACGGGGCUAAACCAUGCACCGAAGCUGCGGCAGCGACGCUUAUGCGUUGUUGGGUAGGGGAGCGUUCUGUAAGCCUGCGAAGGUGUGCUGUGAGGCAUGCUGGAGGUAUCAGAAGUGCGAAUGCUGACAUAAGUAACGAUAAAGCGGGUGAAAAGCCCGCUCGCCGGAAGACCAAGGGUUCCUGUCCAACGUUAAUCGGGGCAGGGUGAGUCGACCCCUAAGGCGAGGCCGAAAGGCGUAGUCGAUGGGAAACAGGUUAAUAUUCCUGUACUUGGUGUUACUGCGAAGGGGGGACGGAGAAGGCUAUGUUGGCCGGGCGACGGUUGUCCCGGUUUAAGCGUGUAGGCUGGUUUUCCAGGCAAAUCCGGAAAAUCAAGGCUGAGGCGUGAUGACGAGGCACUACGGUGCUGAAGCAACAAAUGCCCUGCUUCCAGGAAAAGCCUCUAAGCAUCAGGUAACAUCAAAUCGUACCCCAAACCGACACAGGUGGUCAGGUAGAGAAUACCAAGGCGCUUGAGAGAACUCGGGUGAAGGAACUAGGCAAAAUGGUGCCGUAACUUCGGGAGAAGGCACGCUGAUAUGUAGGUGAAGUCCCUUGCGGAUGGAGCUGAAAUCAGUCGAAGAUACCAGCUGGCUGCAACUGUUUAUUAAAAACACAGCACUGUGCAAACACGAAAGUGGACGUAUACGGUGUGACGCCUGCCCGGUGCCGGAAGGUUAAUUGAUGGGGUCAGCGCAAGCGAAGCUCUUGAUCGAAGCCCCGGUAAACGGCGGCCGUAACUAUAACGGUCCUAAGGUAGCGAAAUUCCUUGUCGGGUAAGUUCCGACCUGCACGAAUGGCGUAAUGAUGGCCAGGCUGUCUCCACCCGAGACUCAGUGAAAUUGAACUCGCUGUGAAGAUGCAGUGUACCCGCGGCAAGACGGAAAGACCCCGUGAACCUUUACUAUAGCUUGACACUGAACAUUGAGCCUUGAUGUGUAGGAUAGGUGGGAGGCUUUGAAGUGUGGACGCCAGUCUGCAUGGAGCCGGCCUUGAAAUACCACCCUUUAAUGUUUGAUGUUCUAACGUGGACCCGUGAUCCGGGUUGCGGACAGUGUCUGGUGGGUAGUUUGACUGGGGCGGUCUCCUCCUAAAGAGUAACGGAGGAGCACGAAGGUUGGCUAAUCCUGGUCGGACAUCAGGAGGUUAGUGCAAUGGCAUAAGCCAGCUUGACUGCGAGCGUGACGGCGCGAGCAGGUGCGAAAGCAGGUCAUAGUGAUCCGGUGGUUCUGAAUGGAAGGGCCAUCGCUCAACGGAUAAAAGGUACUCCGGGGAUAACAGGCUGAUACCGCCCAAGAGUUCAUAUCGACGGCGGUGUUUGGCACCUCGAUGUCGGCUCAUCACAUCCUGGGGCUGAAGUAGGUCCCAAGGGUAUGGCUGUUCGCCAUUUAAAGUGGUACGCGAGCUGGGUUUAGAACGUCGUGAGACAGUUCGGUCCCUAUCUGCCGUGGGCGCUGGAGAACUGAGGGGGGCUGCUCCUAGUACGAGAGGACCGGAGUGGACGCAUCACUGGUGUUCGGGUUGUCAUGCCAAUGGCACUGCCCGGUAGCUAAAUGCGGAAGAGAUAAGUGCUGAAAGCAUCUAAGCACGAAACUUGCCCCGAGAUGAGUUCUCCCUGACCCUUUAAGGGUCCUGAAGGAACGUUGAAGACGACGACGUUGAUAGGCCGGGUGUGUAAGCGCAGCGAUGCGUUGAGCUAACCGGUACUAAUGAACCGUGAGGCUUAACCUUACAACGCCGAAG